UACGUAGGGACCAAGCGUUGUUCGGAUUUACUGGGCGUAAAGGGCGCGUAGGCGGCAAUUCAAGUCAGCUGUGAAAUCUCCGAGCUUAACUCGGAACGGUCAUCUGAUACUGUUUUGCUAGAGUGCAGAAAGGGCAAUCGGAAUUCUUGGUGUAGCGGUGAAAUGCGUAGAUAUCAAGAGGAACACCUGAGGUGAAGACGGGUUGCUGGGCUGACACUGACGCUGAGGCGCGAAAGCCAGGGGAGCAAACGGG
This 253-nucleotide ribosomal RNA is filed under the name uncultured bacterium. Its description in RNAcentral is "partial 16S ribosomal RNA". It matches the Rfam family "Bacterial small subunit ribosomal RNA", at positions 524 to 776 of the family's 1533-position model. The record is from RNAcentral.